AGCGAACGCUGGCGGCAGGCCUAACACAUGCAAGUCGAACGAACUCUUCGGAGUUAGUGGCGGACGGGUGAGUAACACGUGGGAACGUGCCUUUUGGUGCGGAAUAACUCAGGGAAACUUGUGCUAAUACCGAAUGUGCCCUUCGGGGGAAAGAUUUAUCGCCAUUAGAGCGGCCCGCGUCUGAUUAGCUAGUUGGUGAGGUAACGGCUCACCAAGGCGACGAUCAGUAGCUGGUCUGAGAGGAUGACCAGCCACACUGGGACUGAGACACGGCCCAGACUCCUACGGGAGGCAGCAGUGGGGAAUCUUGCGCAAUGGGCGAAAGCCUGACGCAGCCAUGCCGCGUGAAUGAUGAAGGUCUUAGGAUUGUAAAAUUCUUUCACCGGGGACGAUAAUGACGGUACCCGGAGAAGAAGCCCCGGCUAACUUCGUG
RNAcentral lists this ribosomal RNA (433 nucleotides) under uncultured bacterium. RNAcentral's name for it is "partial 16S ribosomal RNA". It matches the Rfam family "Bacterial small subunit ribosomal RNA", at positions 29 to 507 of the family's 1533-position model. The record is from RNAcentral.